CAUAUUUUACAAGGAAAAACCCUGCUUAAACUUCUCUAAAAUGACUUUGAAGAAAAAGACAAGAAGACGAACUUCGUUAAUUCGACGAGAACGUGUUCAUUCAACGCCGACUUUAAAGUCACACCUUGGAUGUAAAAUUCGGCAAUCUCGAUAGAGUGGUCAUGAGGCGAUGGUAUGUGUCGACAGCAGUAAAC
This is a long non-coding RNA of Dendronephthya gigantea, 194 nucleotides long. RefSeq lists it as uncharacterized. Lineage: Eukaryota; Metazoa; Cnidaria; Anthozoa; Malacalcyonacea; Nephtheidae. The transcript has 3 exons. The record is from RefSeq and is a predicted model, not a curated record.